This 253-nucleotide ribosomal RNA is filed under the name uncultured bacterium. RNAcentral describes it as "partial 16S ribosomal RNA". It matches the Rfam family "Bacterial small subunit ribosomal RNA", at positions 524 to 776 of the family's 1533-position model. The record is from RNAcentral.
UACGUAGGUGACCAGCGUUGUCCGGAUUUACUGGGCGUAAAGGGCGCGUAGGCGGCCUUCUAAGUCGAACGUGAAAUCCCUGGGCUCAACCCAGGAACUGCGUCCGAUACUGGAAGGCUUGAAUCCGGGAGAGGGAUGCGGAAUUCCAGGUGUAGCGGUGAAAUGCGUAGAUAUCUGGAGGAACACCGGUGGCGAAGGCGGCAUCCUGGACCGGUAUUGACGCUGAGGCGCGAAAGCCAGGGGAGCAAACGGG